UCCGUAGGUGAACCUGCGGAGGGAUCAUUACCGAGUUUACAACUCCCAAACCCCUGUGAACAUACCUUAAUGUUGCCUCGGCGGAUCAGCCCGCGCCCCGUAAAACGGGACGGCCCGCCAGAGGACCCAAACUCUAAUGUUUCUUAUUGUAACUUCUGAGUAAAACAAACAAAUAAAUCAAAACUUUCAACAACGGAUCUCUUGGUUCUGGCAUCGAUGAAGAACGCAGCAAAAUGCGAUAAGUAAUGUGAAUUGCAGAAUUCAGUGAAUCAUCGAAUCUUUGAACGCACAUUGCGCCCGCUGGUAUUCCGGCGGGCAUGCCUGUUCGAGCGUCAUUUCAACCCUCAAGCCCCCGGGUUUGGUGUUGGGGAUCGGCUCUGCCCUUCUGGGCGGUGCCGCCCCCGAAAUACAUUGGCGGUCUCGCUGCAGCCUCCAUUGCGUAGUAGCUAACACCUCGCAACUGGAACGCGGCGCGGCCAUGCCGUAAAACCCCAACUUCUGAAUGUUGACCUCGGAUCAGGUAGGAAUACCCGCUGAACUUAAGCAUAUCAAUAAGCGGAGGA
RNAcentral lists this ribosomal RNA (563 nucleotides) under Fusarium tricinctum. RNAcentral describes it as "eukaryotic LSU rRNA". The stretch from base 182 to 335 matches the Rfam family "5.8S ribosomal RNA". Lineage: Eukaryota; Fungi; Ascomycota; Sordariomycetes; Hypocreales; Nectriaceae. The record is from RNAcentral.